This 2331-nucleotide long non-coding RNA is filed under the name Homo sapiens (human). RNAcentral describes it as "HSALNT0101404". Lineage: Eukaryota; Metazoa; Chordata; Mammalia; Primates; Hominidae. The record is from RNAcentral.
UGGAACUGGCCUUGAGAAUGGGAGUGCCUACUCCUCCCUCAACAGCUGACGUAAAAGGGAGAACUUCCUGGAGGCCAGCCAAGAGCCUACUGGGGCAUAAUCAGGCUGCCCAGCUUGUUGGCUUGGACAUGGCUCCUCUCCACUUAGGAGGCUCUGCCCACUCACAUUCCAGGCCUCAGCUUGCCAUGUUUUCCUGUUAAGCCCAGAACCCUUCCCCUGGGUCCCUUCCUCAGAGGGGACAUGUUGGGAGCCACAGUCUCAGAGAUACUUGGGAUUUUAAACAUGAUGCAACUCUAGGGCUGACUUUGGAAUUCUGUGGGCUGUGCUUGGCCCAGAUCCCACCUUUGGGCCACUUUUGCUGCUGCUAUUAUUUUUAGUUGGUGGGGCAAUCAUUGUGUGCCUUUGUACAGUUUUCAUUUGGGAAGCCUUAGAGCUCUUUAACUCCACUCCAUUCUAUCACAUCCUUGUUUAGCAAUGAUCAUCCUUUUGCAUUACAAACUAGAAAAGCAACUCCGUAAGACUAACAAACUCUCUUCAACCAAGUAAAGGAGACUCCUUGUGGAGGGGAGCCCCUGCCCGCUCACCUGGAUGACCAUGCCUCACCUCUGCCGAUCACAUGCAAAUAUUUGUCCUGUUCUGAGACAUCCUCCUGGGUCCCAGCUUCUUCUCUUGAAGAUACAGAUUUCCAGUGCACCAUCAGAAGCCGAAGUAACUGUGAGUGGGAGGCAUUGGAGCCGGCUGGGAGGUAAGCAUUCGGGCCAGCAGGGAGGAGGAGUCGCCCAUGUAGCAGUGCUGGAUGACAACAUUCCCACACUGCCCUCGGACACAUCACAGACCCUGGUACCACAGGAUCCCUCUGAUUCAACUGAAGAGAGAUGCAGAGCUGCAUGCCACCAAGAACAUGUCUGGCCUGAUUUGAAGCUGCUACAUCUACUUUGAAAGAAGCCACAUAACCUUUGCUGCUACUUCAUUUCAAGUUUUCCUUUGAAUUUUCUAUUUCCUGAGCUGGGAGAAAUGAGAGGAUGCACCCUCUCCCUUUCUAACAGGCCCUUCUCACUUGCUCUGAUGAGUCUGGCUCUCAAGUGAGCUGCCCUGAUGGAGAGGCCCGCAUGUCCAGAAUGAAGCAUACCUUCUGCCAACAGCCAUCAAGGAACUGAAUCCUUCCUACAACCACGUGGGCAACAUUCGAAGGAAAUCCCCCCCUAGCCAAGCUUUGAGAUGACUACAGCCCCAGUGUACACCUCCAUUGCAGUUUUAUAAAAGACCUGAGACAGAGGACCCAGCUAAGCCAUGGGCCAGCCAGGAUUUCCUGACCUAUAAUAACUGUGAAAUAGAAUAAUAAAUGUUGUUGUUGUAAGUCACUACUUUUCUGACUAAUUUGACAUGCAGCAAUAGAUAACUAAUUUCAGGAACAAGGACAAAGAGUAAGAACUAAUCAUGGCCCACCUGAACCAUUCACGUACUAAGCAGAGACAGUCAGAAGAACAAGUAUUGACAUCCUGCCCCUGUCCCCCUCUACAGGUAGAAAUAAAAUUUUCCUGAUUCCCAGUACUUUGGGAGGCUGAGACAGGCAGAUUACCUGAGGUCAGGAGUUCGGGACCAGCCUGACCAAUACGGUUAUACUUUGUCUCUACUAAAAAUACAAAAAUUAGCUGGGUAUGGUGGUGGGCACCUGUAAUCCCAGCUACGUGGGAGGCUGAGACAGGAGAAUUGCUUGAACCUGGAAGUCAGAGGUUGCAGUGAGCUGAGAUCAUACCAUUGCACUCCAGCCUGAGUGACAGAGCAUGAAUCCAUCUCAAAAAAAAAAAAAAUUACCACCUUAACCAUUUUUUUUUUCAAAAGGACUUCACUCAUGGAAGAAAAACUUUACUUGCUGUUUCAAAAAAAUAUUUGUGUGAAGCAGAAAUUGGUUUCAAUAACAUUAGUAAAGAAUACAUCCUGGAAAAUAGAUAAAACUGGAUGUAAAAUUCUGGCAGCAAUUUAAUUGGACAGUCCCAGAUGGUUAGGCUGAGGAUAAAUGUCUUGUCUGUGGGGAAUUUUGGACGACACCUGGAGAAAGAUUACACUGCGCCUAAACCAAAUUGAGUUGCUUUCACAAGCCUUGUAAAAUUUCAUAUAGUAAAAGGUUUUUUCUAUAUGCACUUCAAUUUCAUAGCAAGAAUGGCAAAGAAUACCUAAAUGCAGAAGAGAGCAUUCAUGCAAUAUAUCUAACUACUUGAUAUAAUAACACAUACAAUUCAAAAAUGAUUACACUCUCAUUAUAUCUAGGGUUUCUGAAACUACAAGGUAGUAGUUAUGGAAAGCAUGGCCCCUGGUUUCAACAUCUAAAAA